AUGCGAUAAGUAAUGUGAAUUGCAGAAUUCAGUGAAUCAUCGAAUCUUUGAACGCACCUUGCGCUCCUUGGUAUUCCGAGGAGCAUGCCUGUUUGAGUGUCAUUAAAUUCUCAAUCUCUACAACUUUGUGGUGUCUAGAUUGGAAGUGGGGGUUUGUUGUGUGGAAUCUAAUUCCUCACUCCCCUUAAAUGCAUUAGCUGGAAUGCCUCUGCAUAUCUGACUAUCAGUGUGAUAAUUAUCUAUGCUGUAGUUGUUGCAUGAGGGUAUCUGCUUCAUAAAUCGUCGCAAGACAAUUCUAUAUGACCAUCUUGACCUCAAAUCAGGUAGGACUACCCGCUGAACUUAA
This 346-nucleotide unclassified non-coding RNA is filed under the name uncultured Conocybe. Its description in RNAcentral is "partial contains 5.8S ribosomal RNA, internal transcribed spacer 2, and large subunit ribosomal RNA". The stretch from base 1 to 102 matches the Rfam family "5.8S ribosomal RNA", at positions 53 to 154 of the family's 154-position model. Lineage: Eukaryota; Fungi; Basidiomycota; Agaricomycetes; Agaricales; Bolbitiaceae. The record is from RNAcentral.